Molecule: long non-coding RNA, 991 nt
Filed under: Brassica rapa (field mustard)
Lineage: Eukaryota; Viridiplantae; Streptophyta; Magnoliopsida; Brassicales; Brassicaceae
Description: long non-coding RNA (BRAP_LNC004941)
Source: RNAcentral
GGGGCUUCACUUGUCCAAGAAGCGCUUUCCUUCCAAACCUCCGUCAGAGCCAUAGACGACACUAAACGACUGCAGGAAGACCAGCAACACGCGAAUCCUCUUAACACGCGCCUCCUUCCAUUCAAACUCUGAGCCAUAAACGUCCAGAUCUACGAGAAGAAGGACAGAGACGAAGCCACGCGCCACCAUCUCGUCGUUGGGUCUGACAAAUCAAAAGGGAAAACAGAUCGCCAGCCCGCAACAAACAAACCCUAAAACGCCGACCCUUCUCAGGAGUACCACUUCGAACGGCUCGCCGUCGUUCCAGCUUCCGACUUCCUCCGACCUAGCUCAGCUCCGCCGCGGUCAGAUCUGAGACAGGAGUCUCCGCCGUACACCAGAAGUCUGCGCAUCUCGCCGGGAAGAAAGAGACUCCACAAGAGGGCAAAGUAAAAACAGAGAUGAGGGAGGAAAGAGAGACCUCCGACUCCGGGAGUGGGCACCGGACGUCGGGGGCACCACCGAUUUAGGGUUUCUUUUUUUCUCUGGUUCGGGAGAGGCGAGAGAGAAAAGGAUUACCGAUUCACUGUAUAUUCUGCGAGUUAAUCGCGCUCCAAAAAAAAACUCUUUGUUUAGAGGCGGUUCCAUAGUUUUAUCUCUUUUUAUGUAUUUUUUUAUUUAUUUUUUUUUAGUUUUUUUGAGGAACCUCUUGUUAAAGCCUCCCGAUGGAGGUUGUGUCUUAUCCCUUUUCUGGCUUGUAAAAAUCUAUAAGCUCCUCGAGUGUUCACGUAAGCAAAAAAAUCAUCUAAUCAUCUAUAAAAUGUAUACAUAUUAUUUAUAAUGGUUUAUAAAUUAUUUAUAAGGAUUUAUAUAUAAUUUAUAAAGAUUUACUUAUAAUUUUUGUAAGAAUUUAUAAAUGAUCUAUAAACAAACUCCUCUAACUGAUUUAUAAUCACUUAUAAAUUGAUUUCUAAACUCUUACAAAUUGGGUUAUGAAGAUUAUUAAAUUCUG